GACGAACGCUGGCGGCGUGCUUAACACAUGCAAGUCGAACGGAAAGGCCCUGCUUUUGUGGGGUGCUCGAGUGGCGAACGGGUGAGUAACACGUGAGUAACCUGCCCUUGACUUUGGGAUAACUUCAGGAAACUGGGGCUAAUACCGGAUAGGAGCUCCUGCUGCAUGGUGGGGGUUGGAAAGUUUCGGCGGUUGGGGAUGGACUCGCGGCUUAUCAGCUUGUUGGUGGGGUGGUGGCUUACCAAGGCUUUGACGGGUAGCCGGCCUGAGAGGGUGACCGGCCACAUUGGGUCUGAGAUACGGCCCAGACCCCUACGGGAGGCAGGAGGGGGGAAGAUUGCACAAUGGGCGGAAGCCGGGUGCAGCAACGCCGCGGGCGGGAUGACGGCCUUGGGGUUGUAAACCGCUUUCGCCUGUGACGAAGCGUGAGUGACGGUAAGGGGUAAAGAAGCACCGGCUAACUACGUGC
Molecule: ribosomal RNA, 469 nt
Filed under: uncultured bacterium
Lineage: Bacteria
Description: partial 16S ribosomal RNA
Rfam family: Bacterial small subunit ribosomal RNA
Source: RNAcentral